AUCCCUUACCUCUCCUAUCCAGCCACCGCCUCCCGCCCUUUCCAGAGAGCGAGCAAAGACGUGUUGAUCCUCCGGCCGCCCUCUUUUUUCAUUUCUAUUCGCACUCUCGCUGAGGCUCCCUCGAAUACGAGCCUCUCGCUCUUUCUGUCUGUCUGCCUAGCCAGUCCCCCAGCUGCUUCGCUCGCACCUCGCUAUUCGUCCACCGCACAGCUGCCCAUAAAGACACGCUCUCGCACUGCACAUACUCCCUCAACAGAAUACAGGAGAAAAUGCCGAACGUUAUCGUGACUUGUACCUUCAACCCCCCAUGUGUCUCCAUCCAUGGGGCGAAUAUCCGCCAAGACACAAUCGAUGCCCUUCAACGAGCACUGCCGAAGCAGACCACGACAAGUCUGCCUACACAGCGCCCCGGUGAGCCUGCCAAGUUCCUCCUGACGAACGGCAGCGGUGUGAUGCAGUCCGGCACAGUGAACCGCAUCGAGGACGGCAGUGCCGCCGCUGGUGGCGCGGAAGAGGGCAGCCAGGAGAACACCUCCCCGCACAACAGCUCGAACGGAGUGGCCCCUGGAGAAGGCGCCAAGGAGUACAAGAGCUGGCGCAUUGACCUCGGGCAGCACUACUGCGAUCAGAUGGGUCGCGCCAUGAUCUUUCUGGUCAUCAUCGAGGCGCUGGAGGAGGAGGGCUUUGCCCUGCGCGGCACGCACACCUUGAUGAUGGAUAGGGAGAAGGAUACUACCCAGCUCAUCUUCGUACGCUCGUAAAGGCACAACGCCUUCGAGGAAAGAAAACAGCAGCCAAGGAAGAAUGGGGCUUUCUUAGGAGUGAGCAAACACAGACGUUCGCGAAGUGCCGGUGCACUCGCGCGCGACAACGACGACCCGACAAAAGCGGCAUAUCCACUGGCAUACCCCCCCCCCCCCCCCCCCCCACACACACACACACACUAGCAUGUAAAGUUUUAUUUUCUCUUUCUCUCUCCGUAUUUCUCUUUUCUAUCUCGUGAGGUAUGUACAUAGGAAAAUGGGCAGCGUCGUCCCACGCGUGCGCGUGCGUGUGCGUGUGCCGUUGAUCCGUUCUUCGGCGCUCUCUGGAACGAAAGACGCUCUUGGGUUGCGUUGGUGGUGUUUACACAUGCAUGUGCGUGUAUGCACGUGCACGUAUAUGUAUAUAUAUAUAUAUAUAUAUAUAUAUAUCUAUGUGUGUGUGUGGACAGUCUGUAGGCAUCCUACCACUCUCGCGGCUCCCUCUUUGCGUGUUUUUUGUUCGUGUCGUCGUUCUCGCAGGUGGGGUUGGGGGUGGGGCGUGCAGCUGUGUCCCCACACGUUACGGAUUUCCCCCGCCAUGCGCCCACACCCCACCACCCGCCUUCCCUGUGGCAGCGAUGACAUUGAAGCGAUGGAGGGUCAACAGACAGAGAGAGGGUGAGCACGUGAGGCAGUUGCUGAUCGGAUAAACAGGCAACGUG
This 1465-nucleotide unclassified non-coding RNA is filed under the name Leishmania donovani. RNAcentral describes it as "gene:LdHU3.02.0660(CDS-product:hypothetical_prote in_conserved)". Lineage: Eukaryota; Euglenozoa; Kinetoplastea; Trypanosomatida; Trypanosomatidae. The record is from RNAcentral.